AAAGCGCCGCCAUGUCUAAUUCAGGGUUUUCUCACUUCUGAUGUCAGGAACUACUGAAUCCUACCAGUGGAUUGUUAAAACGGGGCAUUGCACACAAGCAUUGAAAUGAUUGUAAACCUCUGAAAUCACAGCUUUGAACAGUUUAGGAAUUGCAUUGCGUUAUUGCAUUAUUUUGCAACAACCAGUUUUUCUUUGGCACAUUUACAUUUUUGUGAUAUAAGCUUGCUUGCAAGAAUUUUAUUUUUUAUUUUUUGGUACAUGUUAGAGGAAUUUAAUGUCAUACAAGCAGCUUAGGGAAAAAUGUUUGGUGUGCCUCUGUCCAAAACGAAAUCCAGCCACCAGAGUAGUUUCUGCAGGGCCAAACCUGAUUGCAGCAGAAAUUUGGCAAAGAAAUAAUGUAACACAAUGCAUAACAGACGUUUGUACGUUUUGAUAGAGUAGGUGAUGCCAGUUUCCUUUAAGCUAAAUUACAUUUUGGGACUUGAGAGGUAUCCAUAGACUGUAGAUAAAAGAUGUACCCACAGUGCCAACAUCCACUGACUUCUUUGAAACAGGAUGUGACCAUAUUUGGAUAAAAGGUUGAGCGGGAAAAGUGAUGCUACUGCUACUAAUGGCUAGAUAACUUGGUAAAGUGCCAAAGGUCAAAUGUUAUGCUAAUGUUUGGCUAGCUUAAAAACUUGGCAGAAAACUGAACACAAAAGAACGGCCACUUAAGUGCAUAUCUUUAAACAUGAUUGCAGUUUUAAAAAGUAUUUUCUUCAUAAGAUGCCAAGUUUGUAUAUUGCGUUGAGCCGGCCUCAAGUGGCCAUUCAAGGAACUGCAAUUAUUGCCAUUUCUACUGUGGUUUCAUUUUCCUAGCAAUCUAUUUCCAACAGACUCGAGAUCAAAAUCUCUUACGUGAAACAACUUUAGCUCUCGUAACCUGGCAGGAAAAAAAAAAUGCAAUCAAGCAGAACCCUACUUUUCAUAGAGGGAAGGGACAAAAAGAUUAAAAUGUGUUUUCAGGGGUUUUAAAAAGACUCGAUGUCCUGAGUAUUUAUCCCCUGCAUCAAAGGAGGAGCGGUAGUUUUAUUUGGCCUUUUUAAAUGAUCAGUUGAUCGCAGGGCACGUUUAAGGUGCAGAAUAAAGCUUUCAUCAGUGGUUGUGAAUGCAUUUAAAAUGAUUUAGUUUCAGUGUUUGAUUUUUAAAAUGUGAGGUUCUUGAGGGGAGGCCUGUUUAAUCGCUCCUACUUUGAGUGCAGUGAUGAAUAUCGGCCCCACUCUACUCUCAGAAGUUGGGAAAGGGAUUCUUGUCAUUCAUUUUAAUGUGACACUCCUCAAAAUAUAUCAAUGGGUGCCUUUUGUUUGUAAACCAAAAAGAAGGAAUAAACAAUGUUUAAU
This is a long non-coding RNA of Astatotilapia calliptera (eastern happy), 1379 nucleotides long. The record is from Ensembl. Lineage: Eukaryota; Metazoa; Chordata; Actinopteri; Cichliformes; Cichlidae.